GACGAACGCUGGCGGCGUGCCUAAUACAUGCAAGUCGAGCGGACGGAUGGGAGCUUGCUCCCAGACCGUCAGCGGCGGACGGGUGAGUAACACGUGGGCAACCUGCCUGUAAGACUGGGAUAACUCCGGGAAACCGGGGCUAGUACCGGAUAACUCUUUCCCUCACAUGAGGGAAAGCUGAAAGAUGGCAUCUCGCUAUCACUUACAGAUGGGCCCGCGGCGCAUUAGCUAGUUGGUGAGGUAACGGCUCACCAAGGCGACGAUGCGUAGCCGACCUGAGAGGGUGAUCGGCCACACUGGGACUGAGACACGGCCCAGACUCCUACGGGAGGCAGCAGUAGGGAAUCUUCCGCAAUGGACGAAAGUCUGACGGAGCAACGCCGCGUGAGUGAUGAAGGUUUUCGGAUCGUAAAACUCUGUUGUCAGGGAAGAACAAGUACCGGAGUAACUGCCGGUACCUUGACGGUACCUGACCAGAAAGCCACGGCUAACUACGUG
Molecule: ribosomal RNA, 498 nt
Filed under: uncultured bacterium
Lineage: Bacteria
Description: partial 16S ribosomal RNA
Rfam family: Bacterial small subunit ribosomal RNA
Source: RNAcentral